GUGAGGAAUAUUGGUCAAUGGGCGGGAGCCUGAACCAGCCAAGUCGCGUGAAGGAAGAAGGAUCUAUGGUUCGUAAACUUCUUUUGCAGGGGAAUAAAGUGCAGGACGUGUCCUGUUUUGUAUGUACCCUGAGAAUAAGGAUCGGCUAACUCCGUGCCAGCAGCCGCGGUAAUACGGAGGAUCCGAGCGUUAUCCGGAUUUAUUGGGUUUAAAGGGUGCGUAGGUGGUUUGAUACGGUAUCGGUGAAAGUUUGCAGCUUAACUGUAAAAAUGCCGUUGAAACUGUCGGACUUGAGUGUAAAUGAGGUAGGAGGAAUGCGUGGUGUAGCGGUGAAAUGCAUAGAUAUCACGCAGAACUCCGAUUGCGAAGGCAGCUUACUAAGCUACAACUGACACUGAAGCACGAAAGCGUGGGGAUCAAACAGGAUUAGAAACCCUUGUAGUCC
Molecule: ribosomal RNA, 445 nt
Filed under: uncultured bacterium
Lineage: Bacteria
Description: bacterial SSU rRNA
Rfam family: Bacterial small subunit ribosomal RNA
Source: RNAcentral